GUAUUAUUCUCUCUGCUCCUUGGUGCAUUCUUUCUCGGCCAGGGCUCCCCAUACUUGGAAAGUGUUGCUAAUGCUCGAGGUGCUGCCUAUGAAGUGUACAAGGUUAUCAAUAAGCACCGUCUUCUAGAUAGCAGUGCCAAGGAAGGAUACAGACCAGACCAGCUCAAAGGAGAGAUUGAAUUCAAAAACAUCCAUUUCAGUUACCCAUCUAGACCUGAUGUUAAAGUAAGUGAUCUUAUUAAAUUCAUCUUUGCAGUGAAAAGCUGCUGCCAUUAUCUGUGUGACUAAAAAGAAAACUGAUAUUUUAUCAAUUUAAUGUGUUUA
Molecule: non-coding RNA, 324 nt
Organism: Chrysemys picta bellii (western painted turtle)
Lineage: Eukaryota; Metazoa; Chordata; Testudines; Emydidae
Source: RefSeq, a predicted model, not a curated record